Molecule: ribosomal RNA, 301 nt
Filed under: uncultured bacterium
Lineage: Bacteria
Description: partial 16S ribosomal RNA
Rfam family: Bacterial small subunit ribosomal RNA
Source: RNAcentral
CAGCCGCCGCGGGAAUACGAAGGGUGCAAGCGUUACUCGGAAUUACUGGGCGUAAAGCGUGCGUAGGUGGUGGUUUAAGUCCGUUGUGAAAGCCCUGGGCUCAACCUGGGAAUUGCAGUGGAUACUGGGUCACUAGAGUGUGGUAGAGGAUAGUGGAAUUUCCGGUGUAGCAGUGAAAUGCGUAGAGAUCGGAAGGAACAUCUGUGGCGAAGGCGACUAUCUGGGCCAACACUGACACUGAGGCACGAAAGCGUGGGGAGCAAACAGGAUUAGAUACCCCGGUAGUCCCUGUCUCUUAUCC